UACGUAGGGUGCGAGCGUUGUCCGGAAUUAUUGGGCGUAAAGAGCUCGUAGGCGGUCUGUCGCGUCGAUCGUGAAAACUUGGGGCUUAACCCUGAGCUUGCGGUCGAUACGGGCAUGACUGGAGUUCGGCAGGGGAGACUGGAAUUCCUGGUGUAGCGGUGAAAUGCGCAGAUAUCAGGAGGAACACCGGUGGCGAAGGCGGGUCUCUGGGCAGUAACUGACGCUGAGGCGCGAAAGCGUGGGGAGCGAACAGG
This 254-nucleotide ribosomal RNA is filed under the name uncultured bacterium. Its description in RNAcentral is "partial 16S ribosomal RNA". It matches the Rfam family "Bacterial small subunit ribosomal RNA", at positions 524 to 776 of the family's 1533-position model. The record is from RNAcentral.